Molecule: long non-coding RNA, 234 nt
Organism: Haliotis rubra (blacklip abalone)
Lineage: Eukaryota; Metazoa; Mollusca; Gastropoda; Lepetellida; Haliotidae
Exons: 3
Source: RefSeq, a predicted model, not a curated record
UAAGUUGUUCACUGGUCUCGUGGGCCACAUAGGCUAAUGUACCCUCGAUGUUUGUUUAUGUUCCCUGACCCCGAAGGUAGUAGUAGCGAUAAUAGUAGCAUAGUAGCUUUAACUGCAGUAGAGGUAGCAGUAGCAGUAGCUUUAACUGCAGUAGAGGUAGCAGUAGCAGUAGCUCUAACUGCAGUAGAGGUAUCAGUAGCUUUAACUGCAGUAGAGGUAGUAGUAGUAGUAGCU